Molecule: transfer RNA, 73 nt
Filed under: Ixodes scapularis (black-legged tick)
Lineage: Eukaryota; Metazoa; Arthropoda; Arachnida; Ixodida; Ixodidae
Rfam family: tRNA
About the family: Transfer RNA (tRNA) molecules are approximately 80 nucleotides in length. Their secondary structure includes four short double-helical elements and three loops (D, anti-codon, and T loops).
Source: Rfam by way of RNAcentral
UCCUGGUUAGCUCAGUUAGUGGAGCGUUCCACUGGAAAUUAAAAGGUCCCUGAUUCGAUAUCAGGAUCAGGAC